GAUGAACGCUGGCGGCGUGCCUAAUACAUGCAAGUCGAGCGAACGGACGAGAAGCUUGCUUUUCUGAUGUUAGCGGCGGACGGGUGAGUAACACGUGGAUAACCUACCUAUAAGACUGGGAUAACUUCGGGAAACCGGAGCUAAUACCGGAUAAUAUUUUGAACAGCAUGGUUCAAAAGUGAAAGACGGUCUUGCUGUCACUUAUAGAUGGAUCCGCGCUGCAUUAGCUAGUUGGUAAGGUAACGGCUUACCAAGGCAACGAUGCAUAGCCGACCUGAGAGGGAGAUCGGCCACACUGGAACUGAGACACGGUCCAGACUCCUACGGGAGGCAGCAGUAGGGAAUCUUCCGCGAUGGGCGAAAGCCUGACGGAGCAACGCCGCGUGAGUGAUGAAGGUCUUCGGAUCGUAAAACUCUGUUAUUAGGGAAGAACAUAUGUGUAAGUAACUGUGCACAUCUUGACGGUACCUAAUCAGAAAGCCACGGCUAACUACGUG
This 497-nucleotide ribosomal RNA is filed under the name uncultured bacterium. Its description in RNAcentral is "partial 16S ribosomal RNA". It matches the Rfam family "Bacterial small subunit ribosomal RNA", at positions 28 to 507 of the family's 1533-position model. The record is from RNAcentral.